UCUCCUGUAGCUCAAUGGUAAGAGCGUCCGACCGGUGUGCGGAAGGUCAUAAGUUCGACUCCUGUUGGGAGAA
Molecule: transfer RNA, 73 nt
Filed under: Desmophyllum pertusum
Lineage: Eukaryota; Metazoa; Cnidaria; Anthozoa; Scleractinia; Caryophylliidae
Description: Lophelia pertusa tRNA
Rfam family: tRNA
About the family: Transfer RNA (tRNA) molecules are approximately 80 nucleotides in length. Their secondary structure includes four short double-helical elements and three loops (D, anti-codon, and T loops).
Source: Rfam by way of RNAcentral